Molecule: ribosomal RNA, 253 nt
Filed under: uncultured bacterium
Lineage: Bacteria
Description: partial 16S ribosomal RNA
Rfam family: Bacterial small subunit ribosomal RNA
Source: RNAcentral
UACAGAGGUCUCAAGCGUUGUUCGGAUUCAUUGGGCCUAAAGGGUGCGUAGGCGGCGCGGUAAGUCGGGUGUGAAAUCUCGGAGCUUAACUCCGAAACUGCAUUCGAUACUGCCGUGCUUGAGGACUGGAGAGGAGACUGGAAUUUACGGUGUAGCGGUGAAAUGCGUAGAUAUCGUAAGGAAGACCAGUGGCGAAGGCGGGUCUCUGGACAGUUCCUGACGCUGAGGCACGAAGGUCAGGGGAGCAAACGGG